UGGCGAACGGGUGAGUAACACGUGGGCAAACCCUGCCCAAAAGAGGGGGAGUAACACUUGGAAACAGGUGCUAAUACCGCAUAACCAUAGUUACCGCAUGGUAACUAUGUAAAAGGUGGCUAUGCUACCGCUUUUGGAUGGGCCCGCGGCGCAUUAGCUAGUUGGUGGGGUAAAGGCUUACCAAGGCAAUGAUGCGUAGCCGAACUGAGAGGUUGAUCGGCCACAUUGGGACUGAGACACGGCCCAAACUCCUACGGAAGGCAGCAG
This 267-nucleotide ribosomal RNA is filed under the name uncultured bacterium. RNAcentral's name for it is "partial 16S ribosomal RNA". It matches the Rfam family "Bacterial small subunit ribosomal RNA", at positions 96 to 354 of the family's 1533-position model. The record is from RNAcentral.